Molecule: ribosomal RNA, 1088 nt
Filed under: Syzygium luehmannii
Lineage: Eukaryota; Viridiplantae; Streptophyta; Magnoliopsida; Myrtales; Myrtaceae
Description: bacterial LSU rRNA
Rfam family: Bacterial large subunit ribosomal RNA
Source: RNAcentral
ACCGAUGCAAACUCCGAAUACCGAUGAGUGAUAUCCGGGAGACAGACUGCGGGUGCUAACGUCCGUAGUCAAGAGGGAAACAACCCAGACCGCCAGCUAAGGCCCCAAAUUCCUAGUUAAGUGGGAAACGAUGUGGGAAGGCUUAGACAGCUAGGAGGUUGGCUUAGAAGCAGCCACCCUUUAAAGAAAGCGUAAUAGCUCACUAGUCGAGUCGGCCUGCGCGGAAGAUGUAACGGGGCUCAAACUAGGAGCCGAAGCUGCGGAUUUAAUUGUUUCAAUUAAGUGGUAGGGGAGCAUUGUGUAAGCCUGUGAAGGUGUGUUGUAAAGCAUGCUGGAGGUAUCACAAGAGCGAAUGCUGACGUGAGUAACGACAAUGCGAGUGAAAAGCUCGCACGCCGGAAGACCAAGGGUUCCAGUCCAACGUUAAUCGGGGCUGGGUGAGUCGACCCCUAAGGCGAGGCCGAAAGGCGUAGUCGAUGGGAAAUCGGUUAAUAUUCCGAUACUUGUUUAUGAUGCGAUGGAGGGACGGAGAAGGUUAUGCCAGCUUGGCGAUGGUUGUCCAAGUGGAAGGAUGUAGUUAGGUUUAGUAGGCAAAUCCGCUAGACUAUUAAUGAGAUCUGAUAGCAAGCUGUACUUGUACAGCGAAGUGGCAAAUACCCUGCUUCCAGGAAAAGCUUCUAAGCGAUAGUCAUAAAGAAAUCGUACCCGAAACCGACACAGGUGGUCAGGUAGAGAAUACCAAGGCGCUUGAGAGAACUCUGCUGAAGGAACUAGGCAAAAUGGUACCGUAACUUCGGGAGAAGGUACGCUGCCGAUGGUGAGUAGUCACGCACUACAAAGCUAUUGGCAGUCGCAGAUACCAGGCCGCUGCAACUGUUUAUUAAAAACACAGCACUCUGCAAACACGAAAGUGGACGUAUAGGGUGUGAUGCCUGCCCGGUGCUGGAAGGUUAAUUGAUGGGGUUAGCGUAAGCGAAGCUCUUGAUCGAAGCCCCAGUAAACGGCGGCCGUAACAAUAACGGUCCUAAGGUAGCGAAAUUCCUUGUCGGGUAAGUUCCGACCUGCACGAAUGGCAUAAUGAUGGGGGG